UUUGUUUCUUCCAGUUUUAUUCAAUUCCAAACAGCGCUUUUAUGAACAUUUUAAUCCAUAUUUCCAGGUUCAGAUGAACAAGAAUAUCUCUUGGGUGGAUAUGCUUGAGAGUAGAAUUGCUGGGUAAUAUGAACCAAUGUUCAUUUUUACAAGUUAAUACUGUAUUGUUUUUGAAAUUGAUUGUACUGAUGCUUCUACAUGCAAUUUAUGAGAUCCUAUAGAUUCACUGCCUCACUAAUACUUGGAAUUAUUAAGAAGUGGAUUAGACUUCUUAAUUUUUGCUCAUCAAGUGGGUAUAAAAUAUCUCAUUAUGGUCUUGUUUUACAUUUUUUUAAAUUACCAAUUAGGAUCAGCAUCUCUUCCUGUGUUUAUUGGCCAUAUUUGUUUCCUCUCUUGUGAAAUGCCUGUUCUUUCUUUUGCCUCUUGCUUAUUGAUUUCUAAGAGUACUUCACUCUUGCUGCUAAUUCUUUGUUGGCUGUAUGUAAUGCAGAUAUAGCCUAUCUGUUUGUAACUUGUCUUUUCAUUAUGUUUAAGAUUUAUUUCAAUUUUCAGCAAACAGAACUAAUUAAUGUAAUUAAAUCUAUCAGUCUUUAAUGGUUAGUUUUUGUGUCUUUUUAAAGAAAUUCGUUUUUGUUCUAAAAUAAGAAAGCAGCCUUGUGCAGUGGAGCACACUUGUAAUCUCAGCUACUCAGGAGGCUGAGGUAGGAGGAUUGCUUGAGGCCAGGAGUUUGAGGCUAUCAUGUCCUGUGAUUUCAUCUGUGAAUAGCCACUGCACUCUAGCCUGGACAACAUAACUGAAACUCAUCUCUGGAAAAAAAUUUUAAAAUAAAAUAAGAAAGCUGUUCACCUAUAUUUUCUGCUAAAACUCUGGGAUCUUUUAAUAUGAGGUUAUUCAGCUUUUUUAAAUUCUGGAAAAUAUGUCUCAUUAUUUUUUACAAUUCUAUCACUCCUACUUCUGUCUGCUCUUAACUUUCUUUUAAAUACGAAAAAUAAAUUUUCUUCAUCCUUCACUGCUUCCUUCUGGGAGGUACCUCAUUUUGAUCUCCCAGCUUACUACUUCAGUCUUCAGCUAUAUCCAUUCUAAUAAUAACCCAUCUGCUGUGUUUUAAUUUCAACUCAUAUUUUUAUGCAUAAUAUUUCUACUUGAUUCUUGCAUUAUUUCUUACUCUGUAUCAUUUUACUAAUGCCUUCCCUCCUUAAGUAUUAUCAUGCUUGUUUUAAGUUCCUGGUCUGUCUAAUCUUUUUUUAAGCAAAGUACAGUUGCUUAAAAUAUAUGUGUUAUUCAGUUUGUUGUCUUUUGUGGGGCAGAUGAUAGACCUUCUCAGGUAUCUAGCUGUCUUGGCCUUUGAGCUGAUAUUCCCUUACAGGUACCAGCAACUACCUUUCCCUGCAGAGCAUCGUGGGCUGAGCCCUGGCCCACUGGUUUUAACUGUGUUUUGUUUGGUGUCUUGGGGUGUUUUUUGUUUUGUUUGCUGUCUGGAGUCUUUUGUUUUCUGCAGUCAUGGGAAACAGUUCAAAACAGCCCUCUAUCUGUGGGAUUUUCUCAUAUAUUCUGUGUUGUAGUUACUGUUUCCUGGAAUCCAUGUUUUCUUGUAGUUUUUCCAGGAUACUGGAGGAGACAGCCGGUAGCCUGUGCAUAUGUGCCAUCUUGACAAGAAGCGUAUUCUUCUUAGUUGUAGCUGCUUCUCUGAAUAAUUGAAAGAAGAGAUAUAGACAAUCACAGAAGAUGCAACUGACUUGUAAUACUGUUGAGGCUGCAGGAGAAAAGGGCAUUAAAAAUAUUCAUAAACCAGUGAGGUUGUUUAGAUGGGAGGAAAGAGGUGAGCCUAAUUAGCGCCCAUGUUCCCUUCCAAGCCUGUUCUGCAGUUGUCACUAAUACACAGUAGACAUCACUUUUUGCUGUUAGUGUGUUCCCGAACAAACUCUUUUUUAAUCCAACUAUUGUAAAGGCUAUAAAUGGCUUUGCUAGUUCAGUAACCCCAUGCUAAAUUCUUUUUUUCCUUGUUUUCAAUCCUGCUCCUUCUGUAUGUAAAUUCUUUUUUAAAGAAAAAAAAAUACCUUGAGAAAUAGGAUAGCACAAUGGUUAAGAAGCAUGGACUUUGCAGCUAGACUGCCUAGUUUAGAAUCCUGGCUCUGCCAUGUAUUAGUCAUGUGGCCUUGGUCAUGUUACUUAACCUUUCUAUACUUCUGUUACCUCACCUGUAAAAUGGGGAUAAUAACAGUACCUGUCUCAUAGAGUUGUGAGGGUUAAAUAAAUAUGUAAAAGUGUUUGGCACAUGGCUUGGCAUGUAGUAAGUGCUAUAAAAUGUUUGCUCUGAUUACUAUUAUUGUUGCUAUAAUUUACUCUGUUGACCUGGGCCUUUCAUAUGUUGGUAGGCUUUAAGGGAUUUUUCUCCAAGCAUUCGUCAUUCUGCUGCGUGAACACAUACCUUGUGAUUAGAUGUUUGACUAUUUAAACAGGCAAAACUAGGAAUACAUUUCUGCAUAUAUAUCAAUUUUACAUUCUUAGAGGGAUCAGAAUGUUUGAUUGCAGUCAACUACAAAGAGAUGGUCAUUGUUUCUCUUCCUAUGUGUUAAAGUAUCUGAAUGGAGAUAGCUCCAGAAAAUAGUCCUGGAUUGCAUUUCCUGAAAUAAGGAGACAGUUUCAUUAGGUUAACCAGAGGAUUGGAUAGUAGCCACAUACCAGGUUUUGAAGGUAGUGAUUGUUCCUCAGGGGUUGUGCUUUACACAGCUCGGAUUUCCUAAAAGAUAAUCAUUACAUGAAGUACUUUAACUCAGUAGCAUUUAGUUGUGGCUUAGAAAUGCUGAUAUCAUACACUUUAUUUUUCGGUUCUCUUGUUUCUUACUCCUGUCUCUACUUCUCCAGCUUUAGAAUUUGAGUCAUUUAAGUAUGUGUUUGCUUCAUUCCUGUUUGGGGGCUGAUUUGUACUCUUCAAAGAGUUUUGUCAGCUUUAGAUCUCUGAGGGAUAGAUUGCCAGAGAAGGGGAAGUUUCAGUCCAGGCAUAUGUGCAGAGCCUUGAUCAAUUGAGGAAAGGAAAGGCUGUUUUACACAAGAGAGAAGCUGAUGUUGUUUAUGCACUUCCUAGGUAGUUAGAAACAAACCUGUGGCAAGGCAGGCUCCUGGCAAACGGAAGUGCAAUUGUCGGCAAGAGAUGCGGACCACCCAGCUGGGCCCUGGGCGCUUCCAAAUGACCCAGGAGGUGGUCUGCGACGAAUGCCCUAAUGUCAAACUAGUGAAUGAAGAACGAACGCUGGAAGUAGAAAUAGAGCCUGGGGUGAGAGACGGCAUGGAGUACCCCUUUAUUGGAGAAGGCGAGCCUCACGUGGAUGGGGAGCCUGGAGAUUUACGGUUCCGAAUCAAAGUUGUCAAGCACCCAAUAUUUGAAAGGAGAGGAGAUGAUUUGUACACAAAUGUGACAAUCUCAUUAGUUGAGUCACUGGUUGGCUUUGAGAUGGAUAUUACUCACUUGGAUGGUCACAAGGUACAUAUUUCCCGGGAUAAGAUCACCAGGCCAGGAGCGAAGCUAUGGAAGAAAGGGGAAGGGCUCCCCAACUUUGACAACAACAAUAUCAAGGGCUCUUUGAUAAUCACUUUUGAUGUGGAUUUUCCAAAAGAACAGUUAACAGAGGAAGUGAGAGAAGGUAUCAAACAGCUACUGAAACAAGGGUCAGUGCAGAAGGUAUACAAUGGACUGCAAGGAUAUUAAGAGUGAAUAAAAUUGGACUUUGUUUAAAAUAAGUGAAUAAGCGAUAUUUAUUAUCUGCAAGGUUUUUUUGUGUGUGUUUUUGUUUUUAUUUUCAAUAUGCAAGUUAGGCUUAAUUUUUUUAUCUAAUGAUCAUCAUGAAAUGAAUAAGAGGGCUUAAGAAUUUGUCCAUUUGCAUUCAGAAAAGAAUGACCAGCAAAAGGUUUACUAAUACCUCUCCCUUUGGGGAUUUAAUGUCUGGUGCUGCCGCCUGAGUUUCAAGAAUUAAAGCUGCAAGAGGACUCCAGGAGCAAAAGAAACACAACAUAGAGGGUUGGAGUUGUUAGCAAUUUCAUUCAAAAUGCCAACUGGAGAAGUCUGUUUUUAAAUACAUUUUGUUGUUAUUUUU
RNAcentral lists this small RNA (4092 nucleotides) under Pan troglodytes (chimpanzee). RNAcentral describes it as "retained intron". The record is from RNAcentral. Lineage: Eukaryota; Metazoa; Chordata; Mammalia; Primates; Hominidae.